GAUGAACGCUGGCGGCGUGCCUAAUACAUGCAAGUCGAGCGAACGGACGAGAAGCUUGCUUCUCUGAUGUUAGCGGCGGACGGGUGAGUAACACGUGGAUAACCUACCUAUAAGACUGGGAUAACUUCGGGAAACCGGAGCUCAUACCGGAUAAUAUUUUGAACCGCAUGGUUCAAAAGUGAAAGCCGGUCUUGCUGUCACUUAUAGAUGGAUCCGCGCUGCAUUAGCUAGUUGGUAAGGUAACGGCUUACCAAGGCAACGAUGCAUAGCCGACCUGAGAGGGUGAUCGGCCACACUGGAACUGAGACACGGUCCAGACUCCUACGGGAGGCAGCAGUAGGGAAUCUUCCGCAAAGGGCGAAAGCCUGACGGAGCAACGCCGCGUGAGUGAUGAAGGUCUUCGGAUCGUAAAACUCUGUUAUUAGGGAAGAACAUAUGUGUAAGUAACUGUGCACAUCUUGACGGUACCUAAUCAGAAAGCCACGGCUAACUACGUG
RNAcentral lists this ribosomal RNA (497 nucleotides) under uncultured bacterium. RNAcentral's name for it is "partial 16S ribosomal RNA". It matches the Rfam family "Bacterial small subunit ribosomal RNA", at positions 28 to 507 of the family's 1533-position model. The record is from RNAcentral.